CCCGAGAAACGGAACCUGGAGUGCCCCCCGGGCUGCGAGCUGUGAGCGUGGCACAAAGGGAUACCUGGGGCGCCCGGGUGGGGUGGGGAGGAGGAGUGCAACUGUGACGAGGUGUGAAGAAAGGGCCCAGAGGAACUGUGAACCCCGAGGAAAGGAGUCUCCCUGGGCUAAGGCCUCUGGAAUACCGGCACGGAGAAACACUCGUUUCCCGCCCUGGAUGUUCACUUUUCCAUCUCGGUGGAAGUGGGUGGGAGAGACAGAAAGGAUGCAGCCGAGACCGGGCGCAGGCGGGGAGGCUGGAGCAUCCUCUAAGGGCACUUCGCAGCAGCACCAACUCCAGGGGGUCGGUGGUGCCAGCCGGAGGAGGGAGGGGGCGCAGUCGGAGGGAAAGGAAGUGAGAGGAGCAGGGGGCCGACGGGUGGAUCCCCAGGCAUUAGUGACGCAGUCUUCAAAUCGCUUCUUUUCCUCCCCACGGCUGCGCUCUGCCCCUGGCUACCUAGAUCACCAGUCCCUGGGCUGGGGCGGGCCGCCGCGAGGGAGGCGAACAGGAGAGGGGGAAACAGACAGGCAGGCGGCCACGCAUCCCACCCGGGGAGGCAGAAAAG
This 605-nucleotide long non-coding RNA is filed under the name Homo sapiens (human). RNAcentral's name for it is "HSALNT0037571". The record is from RNAcentral. Lineage: Eukaryota; Metazoa; Chordata; Mammalia; Primates; Hominidae.